This is a small nuclear RNA of Podarcis muralis (Common wall lizard), 126 nucleotides long. Ensembl annotates it as U4atac minor spliceosomal RNA. The record is from Ensembl. Lineage: Eukaryota; Metazoa; Chordata; Lepidosauria; Squamata; Lacertidae.
ACCGUCCUUAUCUUGGGGUUGCGCUACUGCUCAAUGAACGUCUAGUGAGAGUAGUACUGCUAACACCUACACAACACAUGAGCAUCCCUGGGGUUUCUACCCCAUUGAGGUGCAAUUUUUGGAACC